This 527-nucleotide ribosomal RNA is filed under the name uncultured eukaryote. Its description in RNAcentral is "SSU rRNA". It matches the Rfam family "Eukaryotic small subunit ribosomal RNA", at positions 21 to 549 of the family's 1831-position model. The record is from RNAcentral.
UAGUCAUACGCUUGUUUCAAAGAUUAAGCCAUGCAUGUUUAAGUAUAAAUACUUUACUUUGAAACUGCGAACGGCUCAUUAUAUCAGUUAUAGUUUAUUUGAUAGUUCCUUACUACUUGGAUAACCGUAGUAAUUUUAGAGCUAAUACAUGCAUCAAUACCCAACUGUUUGCGGACGGGUAGUAUUUAUUAGAUAGAAACCAACCCUUUUUGGAGGCGCUCAGGUGAUUCAUGAUAACUUUGCGAAUUGCAUGGCCCUGUGCCGGCGAUAGAUCAUUCAAGUUUUUGCCCUAUCAGCUUUGGAUGGUAGGGUAUUGGCCUUCCAUGGCUUUAACGGGUAACGGAUAAUUAGGGUUAGAUUCCGGAGAGGGGGCCUGAGAGAUGGCCCCCACAUCCAAGGAAGGCAGCAGGCGCGUAAAUUACCCAAUCCUGACACAGGGAGGUAGUGACAAUAAAUAACAACGCCGGGCCUUUUUAGGUUUGGCAAUUGGAAAGAGGACAAUUUAAAUCCCUUAUCGAGGAUCAAUU